UGCCAAUUUGUCCGCCUUU
RNAcentral lists this small nuclear RNA (19 nucleotides) under Arabidopsis thaliana (thale cress). RNAcentral's name for it is "snRNA_05338". Lineage: Eukaryota; Viridiplantae; Streptophyta; Magnoliopsida; Brassicales; Brassicaceae. The record is from RNAcentral.